RNAcentral lists this ribosomal RNA (444 nucleotides) under Proteus mirabilis. RNAcentral's name for it is "bacterial SSU rRNA". It matches the Rfam family "Bacterial small subunit ribosomal RNA", at positions 30 to 468 of the family's 1533-position model. The record is from RNAcentral. Lineage: Bacteria; Pseudomonadati; Pseudomonadota; Gammaproteobacteria; Enterobacterales; Morganellaceae.
AUUGAACGCUGGCGGCAGGCCUAACACAUGCAAGUCGAGCGGUAACAGGAGAAAGCUUGCUUUCUUGCUGACGAGCGGCGGACGGGUGAGUAAUGUAUGGGGAUCUGCCCGAUAGAGGGGGAUAACUACUGGAAACGGUGGCUAAUACCGCAUAAUGUCUACGGACCAAAGCAGGGGCUCUUCGGACCUUGCACUAUCGGAUGAACCCAUAUGGGAUUAGCUAGUAGGUGGGGUAAAGGCUCACCUAGGCGACGAUCUCUAGCUGGUCUGAGAGGAUGAUCAGCCACACUGGGACUGAGACACGGCCCAGACUCCUACGGGAGGCAGCAGUGGGGAAUAUUGCACAAUGGGCGCAAGCCUGAUGCAGCCAUGCCGCGUGUAUGAAGAAGGCCUUAGGGUUGUAAAGUACUUUCAGCGGGGAGGAAGGUGAUAAGGUUAAUACCC